GCGGGUGUAGCUCAACGGUAGAGCUCCAGCCUUCCAAGCUGGUGACGCGGGUUCGACUCCCGUCACCCGCUCCA
Molecule: transfer RNA, 74 nt
Filed under: Acidimicrobiales bacterium
Lineage: Bacteria; Bacillati; Actinomycetota; Acidimicrobiia; Acidimicrobiales
Also listed under: 1 other name
Description: tRNA-Gly
Rfam family: tRNA
About the family: Transfer RNA (tRNA) molecules are approximately 80 nucleotides in length. Their secondary structure includes four short double-helical elements and three loops (D, anti-codon, and T loops).
Source: RNAcentral